AUGAUAACUUAACGAAUCGCAUGGCCUUGCCCGGGAUGGUUCAUUCAAAUUUCUGCCCUAUCAACUUUCGAUGGUAGGAUAGUGGCCUACCAUGGUAUCAACGGGUAACGGGAAUUAGGGUUCUAUUCCGGGAAAGGGGAGCCCUGAGAAACGGUACCACAUCCAAGGAAGGCAGCAGGCGCGCAAAUUACCCAAUCCCGACACGGGGAGGUAGUGACAAUAAAUACUGAUACAGGGCUCUUUUGGGUCUUGUAAUUGGAAUGAGUACAAUUUAAAUCCCUUAACGAGGAACAAUUGGAGGGCAGUCUGGUGCCAGCAGCCGGGGUGAAUUCCAGCUCCAAUAGCGUAUAUUAAAGUUGUUGCAGUUAAAAAGCUCGUAGUUGAACCUUGGG
This 392-nucleotide ribosomal RNA is filed under the name uncultured fungus. RNAcentral's name for it is "SSU rRNA". It matches the Rfam family "Eukaryotic small subunit ribosomal RNA", at positions 253 to 645 of the family's 1831-position model. The record is from RNAcentral. Lineage: Eukaryota; Fungi.